GACGAACGCUGGCGGCGUGCUUAACACAUGCAAGUCGAACGGAAAGUCCCUGCUUUUGUGGGGUGCUCGAGUGGCGAACGGGUGAGUAACACGUGAGUAACCUGCCCUUGACUUUGGGAUAACUUCAGGAAACUGGGUCUAAUACCGGAUAGGAGCUCUUGCUGCAUGGUGGGGGUGGGUUAGUUUCGGCGGUUGGGGAUGGACUCGCGGCUUAUCAGCUUGGUGGUGGGGUAGUGGAUUACCAAGGCUUUGACGGGUAGCCGGCCUGCGAGGGUGAGCGGCCACAUUGGGACUGAGAUAAGGCCCAGACUCCUACGGGAGGCAGCAGUGGGGAAUAUUGCACAAUGGGCGGAAGCCUGAUGCAGCAACGCAGCGCGCGGGAUGACGGCCUUCGGGUUGUAAACCGCUUUCGCCUGUGACGAAGCGUGAGUGACGGUACCGGGUAAAGAAGCACCGGCUAACUACGUG
RNAcentral lists this ribosomal RNA (468 nucleotides) under uncultured bacterium. Its description in RNAcentral is "partial 16S ribosomal RNA". It matches the Rfam family "Bacterial small subunit ribosomal RNA", at positions 28 to 507 of the family's 1533-position model. The record is from RNAcentral.